AAGUGGAGCAAUCCAUGAGUAAAGUGGCGACCGGGUGAGUAACACGUGACUAACCUACCUUCGAGUGGGGGAUAACCUCGGGAAACCGAGGCUAAUACCGCAUAACAUCGCAAGAUCAAAGCAGCAAUGCGCUGGAAGAGGGGGUCGCGGCUGAUUAGCUAGUUGGCGGGGUAACGGCCCACCAAGGCGAAGAUCGGUAUCCGGCUUGAGAGGGCGCACGGACACACUGGAACUGAAACACGGUCCAGACUCCUACGGGAGGCAGCAGUGGGGAAUUUUGCGCAAUGGGGGAAACCCUGACGCAGCAACGCCGCGUGGAGGAUGAAGCCCCUUGGG
This 336-nucleotide ribosomal RNA is filed under the name uncultured bacterium. RNAcentral's name for it is "bacterial SSU rRNA". It matches the Rfam family "Bacterial small subunit ribosomal RNA", at positions 72 to 422 of the family's 1533-position model. The record is from RNAcentral.